RNAcentral lists this ribosomal RNA (492 nucleotides) under uncultured bacterium. Its description in RNAcentral is "partial 16S ribosomal RNA". It matches the Rfam family "Bacterial small subunit ribosomal RNA", at positions 30 to 507 of the family's 1533-position model. The record is from RNAcentral.
AUUGAACGCUGGCGGCAUGCUUUACACAUGCAAGUCGAACGGUAACAGGCCUUCGGGUGCUGACGAGUGGCGAACGGGUGAGUAAUGCAUCGGAACGUACCCAGAGGUGGGGGAUAACGCAGCGAAAGCUGUGCUAAUACCGCAUGUGAUCUGAGGAUGAAAGCGGGGGACCGAGCAGCAAUGUUUGGCCUCGCGCCUUUGGAGCGGCCGAUGUCGGAUUAGCUAGUUGGUGGGGUAAAGGCCUACCAAGGCGACGAUCCGUAGCUGGUCUGAGAGGACGACCAGCCACACUGGGACUGAGACACGGCCCAGACUCCUACGGGAGGCAGCAGUGGGGAAUUUUGGACAAUGGGCGCAAGCCUGAUCCAGCAAUGCCGCGGGCGGGAAGAAGGCCUUCGGGUUUUAAACCCGUUUUUGCAGGAACGAAACGGUGUCCGCUAAUACCGGGCGCUAAUGACGGUACCUGCAGAAUAAGCACCGGCUAACUACGUG